RNAcentral lists this ribosomal RNA (468 nucleotides) under uncultured bacterium. Its description in RNAcentral is "partial 16S ribosomal RNA". It matches the Rfam family "Bacterial small subunit ribosomal RNA", at positions 28 to 507 of the family's 1533-position model. The record is from RNAcentral.
GAUGAACGCUGGCGGCGUGCUUAACACAUGCAAGUCGAACGGAAAGGCCCAAGCUUGCUUGGGUACUCGAGUGGCGAACGGGUGAGUAACACGUGGGUGAUCUGCCCUGCACUUCGGGAUAAGCCUGGGAAACUGGGUCUAAUACUGGAUAGGACCACUUCUUGGAUGGUGUGGUGGAAAGUUUUUUCGGUGUGGGAUGAGUUCGCGGCCUAUCAGCUUGUUGGUGGGGUAAUGGCCUACCAAGGCGUCGACGGGUAGCCGGCCUGAGAGGGUGUACGGCCACAUUGGGACUGAGAUACGGCCCAGACUCCUACGGGAGGCAGCAGUGGGGAAUAUUGCACAAUGGGCGCAAGCCUGAUGCAGCGACGCCGCGUGGGGGAUGACGGCCUUCGGGUUGUAAACUCCUUUCGCUAGGGACGAAGCGUUUUUGUGACGGUACCUGGAGAAGAAGCACCGGCUAACUACGUG